AACGCGAAGAACCUUACCCAGGCUCGAAAUAUAGAGGGCGAUAACAGAGAUGUUAUCUUCCGUAAGGACCUUUAUAUAGGUGCUGCAUGGCUGUCGUCAGCUCGUGCCGUGAGGUGUUGGGUUAAGUCCCGCAACGAGCGCAACCCUUAUCAUUAGUUGCCAACAUUUAAGGUGGGGACUCUAAUGAGACUGCCUGGGUUAACCAGGAGGAAGGUGAGGAUGACGUCAAGUCCGCAUGGCCUUUAUGUCUGGGGCUACACACGUGCUACAAUGGUCGGUACAGAAGGCAGCGAAACCGUAAGGUGGAGCAAAUCCCAAAAGCCGAUCUCAGUUCAGAUUGUGGUCUGCAACUCGACCACAUGAAGUUGGAAUUGCUAGUAAUGACGAGUCAGCAACAUCGUCGUGAAUACGUUCCCGGGCCUUGUA
This 426-nucleotide ribosomal RNA is filed under the name uncultured Chlamydiae bacterium. RNAcentral describes it as "bacterial SSU rRNA". It matches the Rfam family "Bacterial small subunit ribosomal RNA", at positions 958 to 1385 of the family's 1533-position model. Lineage: Bacteria; Pseudomonadati; Chlamydiota; Chlamydiia. The record is from RNAcentral.